This is a long non-coding RNA of Gorilla gorilla gorilla (western lowland gorilla), 2685 nucleotides long. RefSeq lists it as uncharacterized. The record is from RefSeq and is a predicted model, not a curated record. Lineage: Eukaryota; Metazoa; Chordata; Mammalia; Primates; Hominidae. The transcript is spliced from 5 exons.
UCAUGCCCCUAUCCUGUUGAUCUUUCCUCACUUAAAAAUUAUCAGAAAAGAAUUUAUUCAUUUGGGAGGAUUCCAGGCACUACAUUUAUGUUGAGUUCAGAUGAAAUGGGAUCCAGACUUUUCAAACCGUACUAUUUUACAGAUAAAACACAAAGGCAGAACUUCAUUAUCUGGAGACACUGCCCUUUCUUUUUUCUCCUGCCUUUUGUUUCUGAGCAAUUUUAAGCUUGUUUGGAAAGUAUCAUAACAGGGGCAGAGCGUUUUUUACCGCAUCUAUUUCAGGAGGGUUUUUAAUACAGAAUAAUAAAAUUAUUGCUAAACAGAUGGAAGAGUUUUACUAAAGCUAGAAAAGACACUUUUGCUAAUACACCCUAUAGGCUGAUCUCAAUUCUUUCAUUGUUAAGAAUGCUUGGUCUAAGAGAGUCUUAUUUAUGUGCCAAAUGGCUUUAUUAAAUCAUUAUAUUAACACAGAAAAAGUCCUAUUACAAUGACGGUCUCUGUAUGAUCAAAACUUGUCCAUGAUCCUGCUGAUAGCCUAUUUAUUCUGAAAUUUAAAAAGGUAACAUUCCAGUACAGCCUAAUGUUUGGCCAAGUUUUACAAAAUUCAUUAUAAUAUGGCUGGAAGGGUUACUAUGUCCUAGCCAGGGAAGGCCUAAGUUUUAUCAGGGCAGUAGUCCCCUGACAAAAAGAAAACUGUGAAAAAGAGACCUCUCAUCCACUCAUAGAAAUUAAUCCCUGGCAACAUUGUAAUGAUUUCACCUGUAGAAAUACAAUGGGUCUGUGAUUUCUACUUUGAUUAAUAAAAAAACAAACAAAAACAAAAACGCAGGGUAAUCUCAGUGCUUUGGGAGGCUGAGGCAGGAGGAACACUUGAGGCCACAAGUUUGAGACCAGCCUGGGCAACAUAGCAAGACCCUGUCAAUACAAAAAAAUUAAAAACUUAGCUAGGCAUGGCGGCUUGUGCCUGUAAUUUCAGCCACUCAGGAGGCUGAGGUGGGAGGAUUGCUUGAACUUGAGAGUUUGAGGCUACAGUGAGCUAUGAUCAUGCCACUGCACUCCAGCCUGCGUGACAGAGCAAGACUCUGACCCCUCCCUACCGCCCCCCGCCGACCAAAAAGAAUCCCAGGGGCAAAUUCAAAGGCAAAUUAAUUGCACUGGUGAACCAGGACUAUGGCAUGUGAAAAGAGUUUAAAAAGCCAGGAGAAGCAAAGUUUGUUGUAUACUGGAUUUUGAAACCGAAUAAACACAGAUGCACACACAAUUUUUGAAUGUAAAAUUAAUACAUGUUGAUUGCAGAGAAAAAAAAUCACUCCUAAGCCUACCACUGAGAAAGCAUAUGUGUUUUGGCCGCCCAAGAUUGAUUUCUGCCUUCACGUGGAAGUAAGCUUUAAAGGCUCUGUGUUAGGGCAUAGUCUAGAAACAUGGGGCCCCAUGGGCACCAGGAAAACUUACAAAGGGAAGAGAUGGAACUGGGAGGGUUCAAGCUACCAGUUCCAUCUCUCCAUGUUUUAGAGAAUUGGGGCACUAAGCCAGGUAAGGUCAGGUCAGAGGAGGGCCCGGAUGAAGCAUGAGACGCAGAGGGACAGUGCGUGAAUGGAGACCUUGGGUAGCACCAACGUGUAGUGGCAGAGGUGGGAUGGCUGUGGCUGAAGUCAGGGAGAGAAUGGGGAGCAUGCACAGGGCUCAGUCUUAUACAUACAUUGAAAAUCCUUUAGCCUUUCAAAGAUUAUUAACCCAAAUCACCUUUCUUGCUUACUCCAGAUGCCUCAGCCUCUGAUAUAAUUGGUAAGUAUCUGCCGUGUUAAAAAUAAACAUUUGAGAAUCAAGGGUGAUUUUUCUCUUUUCUUUUGAAUUGUAAUUGCGAUGUACUCAUGGCCUGCCAUGACGUGAGUUCUGGCUUAGAUUAGCCCCUGGCUGAGAGUCCCAUGCUAAUUUAGUGCCUGCAAUUAUGCCUGCCUCUAAUCGUGUUCUGCUCUUUGUAGGAUGUACCCUUUGCAAUAGAAGCAACGGCUAUGCUGGGUCAUCUAUACUUUCUUGCCCCAGGCCGCUUGUGACACACAUUGCGGUUGAUUGCGAGGAGCAGCGGAAGGAAGGAUGUAUCAAACCGAAAGAAGAAAGAACCCCUGCCAGUCGCCCCCAUGACAUCCGACUCUGAACGGCAGCGAUCUAGAGGCUGCGGCGUGUUGCAGAUUAACAGCAGCGAGGGCAGGAGGCAAAUCAGAUGCCGCAGGAGCUGACUGUUUUUUUUAGCCCUGAGAGCUGACUGUAGGCACAGGUUGCAUAUCAAAGGCAACGGGAAUCAGUCUGUGGCAAUAUUACAUCAGGGACCAUUUCAGUAGAGCCUUUUAAGACACAUGUUUUGGAAUACAGUCAAAUGCGUGCUGCUGUAUGACCAGCCUAUCUGAACUACUUAAGCAUCAACUAAUUAAUCUGCAAGUGAAGAAUACUUCCAGCAUUACUCUAUAAUUAGACAAUCUCAGGAGGAAACAAGAGGAUUUCAAAGGGGAGUCAGAUGGUUUUGCAGACCGCUACAUCAUUUAUUUUUUCAUCACUCAGAUUAUGCCUCCAAAUCCUACAGAAGUAUAACAACCAUAGAACAGACAAACACCAACAGCAUCAACAACAGAGAAACUCAGUCCAGGAGGAUAUGAAACCCUUUGUAAUAAAGAAAGCAACAGCCAUGAA